This 253-nucleotide ribosomal RNA is filed under the name uncultured bacterium. RNAcentral describes it as "partial 16S ribosomal RNA". It matches the Rfam family "Bacterial small subunit ribosomal RNA", at positions 524 to 776 of the family's 1533-position model. The record is from RNAcentral.
UACGUAGGGUCCGAGCGUUGUCCGGAAUCAUUGGGCGUAAAGAGCGUGUAGGCGGUCCGGUAAGUCCGUUGUGAAAGUCAGGGGCUCAACCCUUGAAUGCCGGCGGAUACUGUCGGGCUAGAGUCCGGAAGAGGCGAGUGGAAUUCCCGGUGUAGCGGUGAAAUGCGCAGAUAUCGGGAGGAACACCUAUGGCGAAGGCAGCUCGCUGGGACGGUACUGACGCUGAGACGCGAAAGCGUGGGGAGCAAACAGG